GCUGUCGCUAUGGGAUGGCCCCGCGGUGCAUUAGCUAGUUGGUAAGGUAAAGGCUUACCAAGGCGAUGAUGCAUAGCCGAGUUGAGAGACUGAUCGGCCACAUUGGGACUGAGACACGGCCCAAACUCCUACGGGAGGCAGCAGUAGGGAAUCUUCCACAAUGGACGCAAGUCUGAUGGAGCAACGCCGCGUGAGUGAAGAAGGUUUUCGGAUCGUAAAGCUCUGUUGUUGGUGAAGAAGGAUAGAGGUAGUAACUGGCCUUUAUUUGACGGUAAUCAACCAGAAAGUCACGGCUAACUACGUGCCAGCAGCCGCGGUAAUACGUAGGUGGCAAGCGUUGUCCGGAUUUAUUGGGCGUAAAGCGAGCGCAGGCGGAAGAAUAAGUCUGAUGUGAAAGCCCUCGGCUUAACCGAGGAACUGCAUCGGAAACUGUUUUUCUUGAGUGCAGAAGAGGAGAGUGGAACUCCAUGUGUAGCGGUGGAAUGCGUAGAUAUAUGGAAGAACACCAGUGGCGAAGGCGGCUCUCUGGUCUGCAACUGACGCUGAGGCUCGAAAGCAUGGGUAGCGAACAGGAUUAGAUACCCUGGUAGUCCAUGCCGUAAACGAUGAGUGCUAAGUGUUGGGAGGUUUCCGCCUCUCAGUGCUGCAGCUAACGCA
RNAcentral lists this ribosomal RNA (657 nucleotides) under uncultured bacterium. RNAcentral describes it as "bacterial SSU rRNA". It matches the Rfam family "Bacterial small subunit ribosomal RNA", at positions 211 to 859 of the family's 1533-position model. The record is from RNAcentral.